UCCAAAUCAAAUCAGAUCUGACUGAUGGUUGUUCAAUUUUAUCUUGAAUGCUUCCAGCAUUGGGAGCGCAUACCACCCCAAAAGUAUAAAUUUAAAAGGACAACUGUAUUCUGGUUCACACAUGGAUGUAUGAAGCACAUGUCUGACUACUUUCUCUACAAUCUUCUUCCACACGACAGACCCUCCCUCCAACAAUAACAUGGGCAUAAAAUAGGA
Pogona vitticeps (central bearded dragon) is the source of this 216-nucleotide non-coding RNA. Lineage: Eukaryota; Metazoa; Chordata; Lepidosauria; Squamata; Agamidae. The record is from RefSeq and is a predicted model, not a curated record.